This 315-nucleotide ribosomal RNA is filed under the name uncultured bacterium. RNAcentral's name for it is "bacterial SSU rRNA". It matches the Rfam family "Bacterial small subunit ribosomal RNA", at positions 28 to 334 of the family's 1533-position model. The record is from RNAcentral.
GAUGAACGCUAGCUACAGGCUUAACACAUGCAAGUCGAGGGGCAGCAUGAACUUAGCUUGCUAAGUUUGAUGGCGACCGGCGCACGGGUGAGUAACACGUAUCCAACCUGCCGUCUACUCUUGGACAGCCUUCUGAAAGGAAGAUUAAUACAAGAUGGCAUCAUGAGUCCGCAUGUUCACAUGAUUAAAGGUAUUCCGGUAGACGAUGGGGAUGCGUUCCAUUAGAUAGUAGGCGGGGUAACGGCCCACCUAGUCUUCGAUGGAUAGGGGUUCUGAGAGGAAGGUCCCCCACAUUGGAACUGAGACACGGUCCAA